This is an RNA transcript of Passer montanus (Eurasian tree sparrow), 4598 nucleotides long. It is a transcript of the gene named sodium/potassium transporting ATPase interacting 2, with no coding region annotated. The transcript is spliced from 8 exons. Lineage: Eukaryota; Metazoa; Chordata; Aves; Passeriformes; Passeridae. The record is from RefSeq and is a predicted model, not a curated record.
CAGGCGGGAGCCGGGCGGCGGCCGGGCGGUGCUCUCCCGCCGCCUGAGUGGGCGCGGCGCGGGACGGCGGCGCGGGGUGCCGGGAGCCAUGGGCUAUUGCAGCGGCCGGUGCACGCUGGUGGCCGUGUGCGGCGCGCAGCUGGUUUCUGUGCUCGAGAGGCAGAUAUUUGACUUCCUUGGUUAUCAGUGGGCACCCAUCCUCGCAAAUUUUAUACACAUUAUUAUAGUCAUACUUGGCUUAUUUGGAACCAUCCAGUAUAGACCUCGUUACAUAACAGGAUAUGCUGUCUGGCUGGUCCUUUGGGUUACAUGGAACGUGUUUGUUAUCUGCUUCUAUUUGGAGGCUGGAGACCUUUCAAAGGAAACAGAUCUCAUUCUGACCUUUAACAUCUCAAUGCACCGUUCCUGGUGGAUGGAGAAUGGGCCAGGCUGCACCGUGACCUCAGUAACCCCAGCCCCAGACUGGGCACCAGAGGAUCAUCGCUAUAUCACUGUCUCGGGGUGUUUCCUUGAAUAUCAGUACAUAGAAGUGGCUCACAGUUCUCUUCAGAUCUUCCUUGCACUGGCAGGCUUCAUCUAUGCCUGUUAUGUUGUGAAGUGUAUUACUGAAGAAGAGGACAGCUUUGAUUUCAUAGGUGGAUUUGACUCUUACGGCUAUCAAGGUCCACAGAAGACAUCUCAUUUACAGCUGCAGCCCAUGUAUAUUGCCAACAGUGUGCUCUAUGCUGUACAAGCCAAGAAGCCUAGACAGUCCCUUCAAAACGAAUACGCUUUUUGAACAGAACGGGACAGAUCCGAUGCUCAUGUACCUCCUUGCAGUGUGGCCACAGCUGAUGUACUCAAAAGCAGCUUCCUGGCAUUCUGUGCCGGAGAUGCCAGUGCUCAUUUCCAGACCAUGGCAGAAGGACACAAUAAGAUGGCGGAAAUCAAUUGUCAAGACAAAAUUCUCCUCUUGGGAGGUGACGAAGGAAGGUCAAAGUAAACAUGGGGACUACUCAAGGUGGGCUGGAGGACCUGUUCAAAAAUCCCUUUCAGGAUGGCCUCCUGGUUCUUCAAAGAGAAAAGAAAUCCAAUUUUGUGCUAAAAAUAAUGUAUAAAAGCUGAUUGAACAGUGAGACAGAAAACAACAGAGACCUUCAGUCUCUCUUUCUAACAGGUACUAAAGGAGAUGCCCCAGACCUCCUCCUUGAACCUCCUGCCUCUCAGCAGCAGAGGGACACAGCAGAGGCAUUGCAGCCACCUUUUGUCCCUUUCUUUCCCUGGCCACCGCCAUUACGGCCCACCUGGAUUAAGACAUGAACCCAGCCCACUCAGUGCUGUGGGAGCCUCCUCCACACUCUGGGCCGUGUUGAGUCUCCUCAGCCAACACAACACUGAAAUACCAGGAUGACCUUGCAGCAGAAGUCAAUAGACAGCGCAUUGUUUGCCCUGAAGGCUGUACAGUUCAUACUUGCCUUAACCCAACUGCGUUGCACAUUAGAGAAACUACGUGCAAGCUUUCUGAAGUUAACAUGCUGCUGUUAAUUCUGAACGAUUUCUAAGUCAGUGGUUUUCUUCUGUUUGGUUUUGCUUUGUUUUCAUGUCAGGGAAUAAGGCUCUGUUGGUCCAUGGCUCCAGAGCAACCAAGUAGAAAACUGCCAGCUGUCUGAUAAGUGCUUUACUUUUGGGGCUCCACAGUGGUCAAGAAACAGUUUAUAAUGAUUAAAAAGAAAAAUAAAUAAAGAAAUAAAUGAGAUCUUUUGGGGGUCAGGGAGGGGAAAGGGGUAACAGAAACUAAUAAUUGAACCUACUGGAAAUAAGCAGCAGAAACUGUGCUUCUUAAUCCCGCUGGUUUUAUUUAUCGCACUGUAGGUGCUUUUAUAGCUAUCUCUAAACAUCUUUUACUAACUACAGAGACAUCUGCAGAUUUCUAUGAACAAAGGCCAACUGAAUAUGUACUAGCUAUGUUUACUCUUUUAUAUCUGAUUUCAACUAAAAGUUCUCUGUAAGUGAGCUUUUUUUUUUUCUAAUUGCACCAUAAGGGAUCCACAUAUUUUAUUUCUUGAUUUUGGUUGGAGAGGGCAGGGAGGGACUAGUUGAGUUGAAGAAAUACUGAAGACCUUUUUGUGGUAUAUUUGGGGGAUCUGUUGUGUGUUAGAACGUGUAUUUUAUCUUCCUGUAUUAUUGUGGCUGAAAAAACCUCUGUGCUGUUACGUAGUUGGCAACAAGAUGCCUUUGGGAAUUUUGCUAGUAGGUCAAUGUGUAUAUGAAAUACUCUGAACUCCUAGGAACAUAUGUUUUAUUCUACAUCUGAUCUGUAUUUUCAAGAACGUAGAUGGCUUUCACUAGGAAAACCCAAUAUUUUGCUCAGGUUUUUCAGAAACUUGGAUUGUCAUUGUUUCUUUGCUCAGACCUUGCAUAGACAAACGCACGCACCUACCACACCUGAGGUGACCACGUAGCUUUUGAGGGCAAGAGGGAAGGUCAGCGCUUGGAAAUGCUCAAGGCACCCCUGGGCAAUUCCCUUUUCCCUGCUGGCUAAACCCUGCUCCAGAGGCCUGUGUGCUCACACCACUCACCCAACCCUGUACAAGCCAGUGCCCUUUGCUGUGUCUGCAUGGAUGUACAGUGUCACAAACAACAACUCUGGACAAUGACAGAGGAACAGGCAUUCACCAGUGAAAACAAGAUACGGGACAUGUUCAGGAACUAUACCUACAUUGAUUCAGUGAGAUUUAUAUAGAUAUAGAUAGAUAUAUAUAUAUGUAAGUGUGUGAAGGUGUGUGUAUGUCUAUUUAUAUAAAAUACACAGGACUAUUUUUGGGGGCUGCAUCACCCAGGAAGAUUCUGAUGCAGUGGACCAAGGGUCCCGUCUCAGAUACUGCUGGGAAUUUCAUGCAUGAAAUAUGAAUGUCCUCUAGGCCUGAUCCUGUAAAGCAUUCAUUGCUGAUUUGGAUCUCAAAUUUAAAUUUUCAUACUUGAGUACCUGAAAGUAUGAGUUCCUGCUGGGUAGAGAUGCUUUUAUGCUUUUCACCCCCUGGAAACUCCAUGCAAUUUCCAAGUGACAGGCUGAAAUUUCCCAUAACUUGAAAAACUAAAAAAGUUUCUUCUUUCAUGUAGUAUUAAAUAUAGCAUAUAUACAGUAUUAAACACAAUGAAGAGGUUUAAAUGGGAUGAAAAUGUCAUAACAGGUUAUUUUAUCUUUCCCUGUAUACCAGUUAAUCAAAAUGAUAUUUCUAUAGAAAUCAUUUUUAACAUGAAAAGAAACCAGUUUAGGCACCUAAGCAGCAAUCCAAUUUUCAGAAGAUAAUUUUUCAUACCUUUCAAUGAUUUCCCAUGGAACAGCAGCUACUGGUAGUUAGCAAUUUUAGAAGUCAGACGAUUUAAUGAAGUGUCUACACGUAGCUUAUAGGCCUGAUUUUAAAUUAGAAAAUUUUGGCCUUAAUUUCUCUGUGUCUUAGUCUUCCCAUCCAUAAUACGGGAAUUAUAUGUGCCUCACAAGCUUUUUGUGAGGUCUGAAUUGUUAAUGUUUGUAAAAUGCUUAGGAAAUAGGAAGCACAUCUAACUACUACGGAUUGCAAUAUAAAUGUGUAUUCAUAUAUUACAUAUAGAGUAGAUACACACACUCACAUACACACAGUAUAUAUAUAUAUAUAUAUAUAUAUAUAUAUAUAUACACAUACAUACCUAUAUGAAGUUGGUAUUCAUAACCCUGCUUAAGUUGAAGUUAGAGCAUCACCAUUUAAAAAAUUAGGAUGGUUGACUACUCAACUAAAUGAUUAGUGGACAGAUCUCUUCUGGAAGCAGUUUAGAGCGCAGUAAUGUGAGAAUAUCUGGAUGGCAUUUUUGAUUUGUACAGCUGUAUCCUCCUCAAAAUCCAGUAAAGAAUGUUAUUUUUCUAGGCUGGGCUUUUGUUAUAAACUAAAAUAUUCAGAAGGCAAGAGAUACAAUCCAAAUGUGUCUUUUUUUCUUUUCUUUUUGGCAUUUGUUAAUUCUGAAUGUAUUUUUAACAAAAGUGAUUUUUUUGACUUACUAGUGUAAUUUGCAUUUUAAAAAAAAAUAAAUGGAAAAAAUAUAGGUUUCCAAGCUAUUCAUGGCCCCCUGCUGCUAUUCAGAACUUACAGGAAACUCAGAAUUACUCUUCCCAGCUGAGCAACAAUACAGGAUAAAGAAUCCUAUUACAUUUACAUGAUGACAAUCCCGAUCUGUGCAGUGCAUGGAUGUGACAGCACUGAAUAGAAAUUGCCGGGUCAUGACACCAUUUUAAUGCUGUCAUAUGUACCAGGUAUUUUCAUUAUCACUGACACUAAAAGGUUUCUUUUACAAGGCUGACUGCAACAGACUCUUUACUUAGAAAACAGGGCUGGUUUUGCCCACUCAUCAGGAAUUUUAAGCCCAUGAUAGGUAUAGAGUUGCCAACACUGUUAAGUAUUGCAAAAAUACUUGUUAAGAAGAAGCUAAGUAACAUGGAUAUUUCCUCUGCAUUCAUAUUCUUUUAUAUGCUAUUUAUUGUCCCUACACUGAGAUGAUGGAAUCCUGUCUUAGGCAAAAUGUUUAUAGAGCUCACAUAUGUUGACAGCUUGCCUGAGGUCAUUUAAUAAAGGUGGAGCAGAAUGAUA